RNAcentral lists this ribosomal RNA (1704 nucleotides) under Campylobacter coli. RNAcentral's name for it is "partial 23S ribosomal RNA". It matches the Rfam family "Bacterial large subunit ribosomal RNA", at positions 1230 to 2925 of the family's 2925-position model. The record is from RNAcentral. Lineage: Bacteria; Pseudomonadati; Campylobacterota; Epsilonproteobacteria; Campylobacterales; Campylobacteraceae.
AGGAGAGCGUUCUAUUUGCGUCGAAGGUAUACCGGUAAGGAGUGCUGGAGCGAAUAGAAGUGAGCAUGCAGGCAUGAGUAGCGAUAAUUAAUGUGAGAAUCAUUAACGCCGUAAACCCAAGGUUUCCUACGCGAUGCUCGUCAUCGUAGGGUUAGUCGGGUCCUAAGUCGAGUCCGAAAGGGGUAGACGAUGGCAAAUUGGUUAAUAUUCCAAUACCAACAUUAGUGUGCGAUGGAAGGACGCUUAGGGCUAAGGGGGCUAGCGGAUGGAAGUGCUAGUCUAAGGUCGUAGGAGGUUAUACAGGCAAAUCCGUAUAACAAUACUCCGAGAACUGAAAGGCUUUUUGAAGUCUUCGGAUGGAUAGAAGAACCCCUGAUGCCGUCGAGCCAAGAAAAGUUUCUAAGUUUAGCUAAUGUUGCCCGUACCGUAAACCGACACAGGUGGGUGGGAUGAGUAUUCUAAGGCGCGUGGAAGAACUCUCUUUAAGGAACUCUGCAAAAUAGCACCGUAUCUUCGGUAUAAGGUGUGGUUCGCUUCGUAUUAGGAUUUACUCCGAAAGCGAAGAAACUUACAACAAAGAGUCCCUCCCGACUGUUUACCAAAAACACAGCACUCUGCUAACUCGUAAGAGGAUGUAUAGGGUGUGACGCCUGCCCGGUGCUCGAAGGUUAAUUGAUGGGGUUAGCAUUAGCGAAGCUCUUGAUCGAAGCCCGAGUAAACGGCGGCCGUAACUAUAACGGUCCUAAGGUAGCGAAAUUCCUUGUCGGUUAAAUACCGACCUGCAUGAAUGGCGUAACGAGAUGGGAGCUGUCUCAAAGAGGGAUCCAGUGAAAUUGUAGUGGAGGUGAAAAUUCCUCCUACCCGCGGCAAGACGGAAAGACCCCGUGGACCUUUACUACAGCUUGACACUGCUAUUUGGAUAAGAAUGUGCAGGAUAGGUGGGAGGCUUUGAGUAUAUGACGCCAGUUGUAUAUGAGCCAUUGUUGAGAUACCACUCUUUCUUAUUUGGGUAGCUAACCAGCUUGAGUUAUCCUCAAGUGGGACAAUGUCUGGUGGGUAGUUUGACUGGGGCGGUCGCCUCCCAAAUAAUAACGGAGGCUUACAAAGGUUGGCUCAGAACGGUUGGAAAUCGUUCGUAGAGUAUAAAGGUAUAAGCCAGCUUAACUGCAAGACAUACAAGUCAAGCAGAGACGAAAGUCGGUCUUAGUGAUCCGGUGGUUCUGUGUGGAAGGGCCAUCGCUCAAAGGAUAAAAGGUACCCCGGGGAUAACAGGCUGAUCUCCCCCAAGAGCUCACAUCGACGGGGAGGUUUGGCACCUCGAUGUCGGCUCAUCGCAUCCUGGGGCUGGAGCAGGUCCCAAGGGUAUGGCUGUUCGCCAUUUAAAGCGGUACGCGAGCUGGGUUCAGAACGUCGUGAGACAGUUCGGUCCCUAUCUGCCGUGGGCGUAAGAAGAUUGAAGAGAUUUGACCCUAGUACGAGAGGACCGGGUUGAACAAACCACUGGUGUAGCUGUUGUUCUGCCAAGAGCAUCGCAGCGUAGCUAAGUUUGGAAAGGAUAAACGCUGAAAGCAUCUAAGCGUGAAGCCAACUCUAAGAUGAAUCUUCUCUAAGCUCUCUAGAAGACUACUAGUUUGAUAGGCUGGGUGUGUAAUGGAUGAAAGUCCUUUAGCUGACCAGUACUAAUAGAGCGUUUGGCUUAUCUUU